GAUGAAGAACGCAGCGAAAUGCGAUAAGUAAUGUGAAUUGCAGAAUUCAGUGAAUCAUCGAAUCUUUGAACGCACCUUGCACCCUUUGGCAUUCCAAAGGGUAUGCCUGUUUGAGUAUCAUGAAAUUCUCAACUCCUCUCAGAUUCCAUCUGUAGGGUGAGCUUGGAAUUGGAGGUUUCUGCUGGCGUUCGCCGGCUCCUCUUGAAAUCAUUAGCUUUGAGUUGAUCUUGACGGCUUGACCGGUGUGAUAAACAUCUACGCCGAUUCACGCCGUCCUGAGCGACGACGUCGGAGACGCUCUGGCUUAUAACCGUCUUCACCGAGGGACAACGCCCUGAACUUUUGAUCUCAAAUCAGGUAGGACUACCCGCUGAACUUAAGCAUAUCAAUAAGCGGAGGA
Molecule: unclassified non-coding RNA, 400 nt
Filed under: soil metagenome
Description: partial contains 5.8S ribosomal RNA, internal transcribed spacer 2, and large subunit ribosomal RNA
Rfam family: 5.8S ribosomal RNA (bases 1-120)
Source: RNAcentral